GAUGAACGCUAGCGACAGGCCUAACACAUGCAAGUCGAGGGGUAACAUUAUUAAAGCUUGCUUUAAUAGAUGACGACCGGCGCACGGGUGCGUAACGCGUAUGCAACCUACCCAUUACAGGAGGAUAGCCCAGAGAAAUUUGGAUUAAUACUCCAUAGUAUUUACUGAAAGCAUUUUUAGUAUUUUAAAAGAUUCGUCUGGUAAUGGAUGGGCAUGCGUAUGAUUAGUUAGUUGGUAGGGUAACGGCCUACCAAGACGACGAUCAUUAGGGGUUCUGAGAGGAUAGUCCCCCACACUGGUACUGAGACACGGACCAGACUCCUACGGGAGGCAGCAGUGAGGAAUAUUGGUCAAUGGGCGAGAGCCUGAACCAGCCAAGUCGCGUGCAGGACGACUGCCCUAUGGGUUGUAAACUGCUUUUAUAUAGGAAUAAUUGUUUUUACGUGUAAGAAUUUGAAUGUACUAUAUGAAUAAGCACCGGCUAACUCCGUGCCAGCAGCCGCGGUAAUACGGAGGGUGCAAGCGUUAUCCGGAUUUAUUGGGUUUAAAGGGUGCGUAGGCGGGUUCAUAAGUCAGUGGUGAAAGUCUGUCGCUUAACGAUAGAAUUGCCAUUGAAACUGUGGAUCUUGAAUACAGUAGAGGUAGGCGGAAUAUAUUGUGUAGCGGUGAAAUGCAUAGAUACGAUAUAGAACACCUAUUGCGAAGGCAGCUUACUAUGCUGUAAUUGACGCUGAUGCACGAAAGCGUGGGGAGCGAACAGG
Molecule: ribosomal RNA, 761 nt
Filed under: uncultured bacterium
Lineage: Bacteria
Description: bacterial SSU rRNA
Rfam family: Bacterial small subunit ribosomal RNA
Source: RNAcentral